This 484-nucleotide ribosomal RNA is filed under the name uncultured bacterium. Its description in RNAcentral is "partial 16S ribosomal RNA". It matches the Rfam family "Bacterial small subunit ribosomal RNA", at positions 30 to 507 of the family's 1533-position model. The record is from RNAcentral.
AUUGAACGCUGGCGGCAGGCCUAACACAUGCAAGUCGAGCGGAUGAAGGGAGCUUGCUCCUGGAUUCAGCGGCGCACGCGUGAGUAAUGCCUAGGAAUCUGCCUGGUAGUGGGGGAUAACGUCCGGAAACGGGCGCUAAUACCGCAUACGUCCUGCGGGAGAAAGUGGGGGAUCUUCGGACCUCACGCUCUCAGAUGAGUCUAGGUCGGAUUAGCUAGUUGGUGGGGUAAAGGCCUACUAAGGCGGCGAUCCGUAACUGGACUGCGAGGAUGAUCAGUCACACGGGAGCUUGGACACGGUCCAGAGUCCUACGGGAGGGAGCAGUGGGGAAUAUUGGACAAUAGGCGAAAGCCUGAUCCAGCCGUGCCGCGUGUGUUAAGAAGGUCUUCGGAUUGUAAAGCACUUUAAGUUGUGAGGAAGGGCAGUAAGUUAAUACCUUGCUGUUUUGACGUUACCAACAGAAUAAGCACCGGCUAACUUCGUG